AGCGCUACCUUCGGGUGGAGCGGCGGACGGGUUAGUAACGCGUGGGAAUAUACCCUUCACUAUGGAAUAGCCUCGGGAAACUGAGAGUAAUACCAUAUACGCCCUUCGGGGGAAAGAUUUAUCGGUGAAGGAUUAGCCCGCGUAAGAUUAGAUAGUUGGUGGGGUAAUGGCCUACCAAGUCUACGACCUUUAGCUGGUUUUAGAGGAUGAUCAGCAACACUGGGACUGAGACACGGCCCAGACUCCUACGGGAGGCAGCAGUGGGGAAUCUUAGACAAUGGGCGAAAGCCUGAUCUAGCCAUGCCGCGUGAGUGAUGAAGGUCUUAGGAUCGUAAAGCUCUUUCGCUAGGGAUGAUAAUGACAGUACCUAGUAAAGAAGCCCCGGCUAACUCCGUGCCAGCAGCCGCGGUAAUACGGAGGGGGCUAGCGUUGUUCGGAAUUACUGGGCGUAAAGCGUACGUAGGCGGAUCAGAAAGUAUGGGGUGAAAUCCCAGGGCUUAACCCUG
RNAcentral lists this ribosomal RNA (506 nucleotides) under uncultured Phaeobacter sp. RNAcentral describes it as "bacterial SSU rRNA". It matches the Rfam family "Bacterial small subunit ribosomal RNA", at positions 65 to 617 of the family's 1533-position model. The record is from RNAcentral. Lineage: Bacteria; Pseudomonadati; Pseudomonadota; Alphaproteobacteria; Rhodobacterales; Roseobacteraceae.